Molecule: ribosomal RNA, 397 nt
Filed under: uncultured bacterium
Lineage: Bacteria
Description: partial 16S ribosomal RNA
Rfam family: Bacterial small subunit ribosomal RNA
Source: RNAcentral
AUACGUAGGUGACAAGCGUUAUCCGGAUUUACUGGGCGUAAAGGGCGUGUAGGCGGUCUUGCAAGUCAGAAGUGAAAUUCCUGAGCUCAACUCGGGCGCUGCUUCUGAAACUGCAGGACUUGAGUGCUGGAGGGGAUAGCGGAAUUCCUAGUGGAGCGGUAAAAUGCGCAGAUAUUAGGAAGAACACCGGUGGCGAAGACGGAUACCUGGACAGUAACUGGCGCUGAGGAGCGAAAGCGUGGGGAGCAAAAAGGAUUAGAUCCCCUGGUAGCCCACGCCGUAAACGAUGAAUACUAGGUGUAGGGGGUAUCGACUCCCUCUGUGCCGCAGUUAACACAAUAAGUAUUCCGCCUGGGGAGUACGGCCGCAAGGUUGAAACUCAAAUGAAUUGACGGGG